RNAcentral lists this transfer-messenger RNA (388 nucleotides) under Candidatus Omnitrophota. RNAcentral's name for it is "2-01-FULL-50-24 sp001804225 Standard tmRNA". It matches the Rfam family "transfer-messenger RNA". Rfam says of the family: Bacterial tmRNA, also known as 10Sa RNA or SsrA, is named for its dual tRNA and mRNA-like properties. Lineage: Bacteria; Pseudomonadati. RNAcentral also lists the same sequence under 1 other name. The record is from RNAcentral.
GGGGCUGAUUAGGAUCGACAGGGGGCGAUCAGGCAAGCAGGUGCAUGCCGAGGUGGUGGCGAGGCCUCGUAAAACACGUCACACUACAAAAAUGCUGACAAAAUCAGCUGGAGCAACAGGUCCUUUGGGCCUGUGGCUCUUCCCAUCGCUGCCUAAUUAGGUCCAGCGACGUUUCUGAGGUCUUUAGCCUUGGGGGCUUUUGAAACGACCAGCACAAGGAUAGUCACAUGUGUUUGCUUUCGAUGCAUGUGGCGAAUGGCAAGAAGGCUCGUUCCAAACUUCUCCUGACUGUGGGUGAUUUGGGAUUAAAUUAAAUUGCAGUCUGAGCAUGGAGAUCCGCUGGUUUGAGUCUCACUGGACGUGGGUGCAAUUCCCACCAGCUCCACCA